RNAcentral lists this ribosomal RNA (307 nucleotides) under uncultured bacterium. Its description in RNAcentral is "bacterial SSU rRNA". It matches the Rfam family "Bacterial small subunit ribosomal RNA", at positions 28 to 334 of the family's 1533-position model. The record is from RNAcentral.
GAUGAACGCUAGCGGCAGGCUUAACACAUGCAAGUCGAGGGGUAACAGAAGAGCUUGCUUUUGCUGACGACCGGCGCACGGGUGCGUAACGCGUAUACAAUCUACCUUUUACUAAGGAAUACCCCAGAGAAAUUUGGAUUAAUGCCUUAUAGUAUAUUGACUUGGCAUCAAGAUGAUAUUAAAGAUUACGGUAAAAGAUGAGUAUGCGUUCUAUUAGCUAGAUGGUAAGGUAACGGCUUACCAUGGCGACGAUAGAUAGGGGCCCUGAGAGGGGGAUCCCCCACACUGGUACUGAGACACGGACCAG